AGUGUGAUAUAAUCUGUGUGAUUGUGAGCUGCUGUGUGUGUUCUGCAGUGGUGAACUGGCUGAACAGAGUGGUGGAUGUUGGUAAAGGUGUUGCUAACGGAGUCUGUCGAACAGUCAAGCUCAUCUAAACUCCACCCAGUGAAGGCGCCGCCAAACACCCGGUCUAGACCCAGAGCCCCGCCCACUGCUGAGACCAGCGCCAACAUCAUACACUCUGUUCACCAACACACACACACACACACACUACACAUAAACUACACACUACACAAACUACAAACGAAACACAUUUAAUAACUGUACUACUGUUCACCAACACACACUGACUACACACACACUACACAUAAACUACACACACACACUACACAUAACUGUACUGCUGUUCACCAACACACACUGACUACACACACACACACACACACACACAUAUACACACA
Astyanax mexicanus (Mexican tetra) is the source of this 434-nucleotide long non-coding RNA. RefSeq lists it as uncharacterized. The record is from RefSeq and is a predicted model, not a curated record. The transcript is spliced from 4 exons. NCBI's taxonomy places the organism in Eukaryota, Metazoa, Chordata, Actinopteri, Characiformes, Acestrorhamphidae.